AUGAGUUUGUGCGGCUUCAAGGAGAAGCAGUGGCGGUCAGAUGUCAAGAGGCUGCAACUUGGGCCCAGGAGAGCUAGUGGGAAGCAGCUGCAUAGCACAGUAUCAUUUGAUGACCCACCUACCGCUAAAGCAGCUACUGACUGGUUUGAUGGUAAAGAAUUCUCUGGGAAUCCUAUCAAGGUCUCAUCUGCUACCCGGCGAGCAGACUUCAAUCGGGGUGGUGACAAUGGUCGUGGAGGCCGAGGGCGAGGAGGACCCACCGGCCGUGGAGGCUACGGAGGUGGUGGCAGUGGUGACAGUGGCCGAGGAGGCUUCCCCAGUGGCGGCAGUGACGGACAGCAGCGAGCAGGGGACUGGACGUGUCCUAAUCCUACGUGUGCGAACGUGAACUUCUCUUGGAGGAAUGAAUGCCACCAGGGUAAGGCCCCUAAACCAGAUGGCCCAGGAGGGGGGCCAGGAGGCUCUCAUAUGGGGGGUAACUAUGGAGAUGCUCGUCGUGGUGGCAGAGGAGGCUAUGAUCCGGGCAUCUACCGAGGCCGAGGCGGGGGACCGUGGGGGCUUCCGACGGUGCCGGGGAGGUGGGGACAGAGGUGGCUUUGGCCCUGGCAAGAUGGACUCCGGGGGGGGCACAGACUGCAUCGCAGGAGAGGCCGUGUUAGCCUGGCUCCUGAGGUUCUGGAGCAGCUUUCUUCCUGUCCCCAGUGUUACCCUCAUUAUUUUGUAACCUUCCAACUCCUGAUCACCCACGGGUUUUUUGUGUCGGACUAUGUAAUGUAACCAUAUCUCUGGUUCCCAUUAAAAAACAUUUUAGUU
RNA transcript from Physeter macrocephalus (sperm whale), 813 nucleotides. It is a transcript of the gene named RNA-binding protein FUS-like, with no coding region annotated. Lineage: Eukaryota; Metazoa; Chordata; Mammalia; Artiodactyla; Physeteridae. The record is from RefSeq and is a predicted model, not a curated record. The transcript has 2 exons.